UUUCAACUGCUACUCUGAUGCAGCCUGACUGGCUCAUGGAGAAAGCCUACCUAAGAAUGAAGCCGGGACCCGGCAGAAUGGCUCCUGUGAAGAAGGGUGGCAAGAAGAAAAAGGGCCGUUCUGCCAUCAAUGAGGUGGUGACCCGAGAAUACACCAUCAACAUUCACAAGUGCAUCCAUGGAGUGGGCUUCAAGAAGCAUGCCCCUUGAGCACUCAAAGAGAUUCGGAAAUUUGUCAGGAAGGAGAUGGGAACUCUAGAUGUGCACAACUGAUACCAGGCUCAACAAGGCUGUCUGGGCCAAAGGAAUAAGGAAUGUCCCAUGCCGAAUCCAUGUGCAGUUGUCCAGAGAAUAUAAUGAGGAUGAAGAUUCACCAAAUAAGCUCUGUACUUCGGUUACCUAUGUACCUGUUACCACUUUCAAAAAUCUAUAGACAGUCAUUGUGGAUGAGAACUAAUCACUGAUUGUCAACUAUAUCAAACAAAGUUAUAAAACUGCAAAAAAAAAAAAAAAAAUGAAGCCAACACCAAGGAAAACAAAGAUGUCUUCAUGUGUAUGACAGAACAAGUAACAGACUAACAGAAGCUGCACACAUGCUCAAGAAAUAGAGAUGCACGCAGAGACCUGACAACAUCCUGUGCGCCUAUAUCCAGCCAAAGCAUCCAGCAGACUGACCUCAUGAUUUUUCACAUACAUGAACCAAUAAAUUCCCUUUUUUGUUUAAGC
RNAcentral lists this long non-coding RNA (725 nucleotides) under Homo sapiens (human). RNAcentral describes it as "non-protein coding lnc-SPCS2-3:7". Lineage: Eukaryota; Metazoa; Chordata; Mammalia; Primates; Hominidae. The record is from RNAcentral.